CUUUAUGCAAAUGCCGACGUCAUGACGUCGACGCUAGCCGUCGCGUCAUAAAAGGGGGAGGAGCUAGCGCGGCCGGCGCGAAAACGGCCGAAAUAUGCCGAAAUGCUAGGGGAAGGGAGCCCCUAAGCAGAGAGGAUGUCCUCCCUGGAUACAUCACCAACAGGUACCCUGACAUGUUGUACUUAUCUUAGCAGUGUUUAAUUGUUCCUAUUAAUCAUAUGGUCAGUAUUAACCCUUAGCUCUAUGGCUAUGUGUGAUGUUGACUGAAUGAUGUGCCUGCAUCCAUUAUAGCUGUCACUGGAGAUAUAUCACCACCAUAAAUGGAUAUCUACCUGUUUGGUCUAAGGUAUGUUUGGUGGUAGCCACAGAGAUGCACCCGUAGACUAUGUCAGCAGUUUUAGUUUUUCUUAAUUAGGUAUAAACAAGCUUCACUAAUCCACCUAUUCUACUACUACUACUACUACUUUGGAAUUCCUAUGCAAAACAGACAGAUAUUAGAUUUUGCCAAUUCAUUUGUUGGUGCACAUGCUUGUUGUAGUCGUUCUAUCAAAUAAAGGUAAUAUUUCCUAUUUAAUAACACUAUCCUGACUUCUCAGCACUGUAUAGAUUGUGGAAUAAUUGACAAAUAUCAACCAUAAUUCUACAUAUAGCUAAAGUAAGAGCUGGGCAACCUGCCCUUAAACUAAAAAAAGUCCCUGGCAAGAAGGCAGGAAUUAUUUUAGUUUGUGUUGCACCAUCCAUGGGGCGAAGUGAGACAACGCUCGAAAAGAAAGUAAGAGUAUUCAAAGUUGUAAUAGGGUGUUUUAAGGUAUGUAAUCUGCAAAAGAGGGAGAGGACAAAAUAACCUACUUAAAUAUUUUAUUUGUUCUUGUGAUUGUGCUAAUGAGACAUUGUCACAUGAAAACUUUUGGUCACUGUCCUAAGCAGCUGCUCCAUCUACAGUUACUGUUAAGUGCUAAUUAGUAGCUACAUACAUGCUUUAUUAGGAGAGAUUGAACAAAGGAAUGUUGAACGAUCCACGUCAAGCAAACCAUUCCCAGUGGAGUAUAUUAAGACACAGAGACUCCUAUUGUGCUAUUCUUUUUUCCUUUCUUCCAUUAGCAGCAAAAAAAAAAAAAAUUAUGAAAAAGGUUAACCCCCAAAUUACCUAAUUUUGGGGUAAAAUGGGUUGGAAGCCCAGAAAGGGUAUUGAAUUGUUGCUUACAAAUUGCCAGGAUAAACUUUUAGACUCUGAGUCCUGUGACUAAGUUGCAUGGACUGUUGGAAGCUGCCCAAUCUGGCAUGCAACAUUUGGAUUUUGAAGUUGCCAAGAGUUGGCUGCAGAGGAUUUUCUAUAUGUUGGAUAAUGCCAACACAUCGUUGGUCACAGAAUGAAGAAAGGACAUUCUCUUCAAAAUAGAGCCUAAAUUGGUCCAAACUGCCUUAAAUGAACCUGGUGCUAAGGGUUUGUUAUUUAGAGAAUCCUUUGUCAAGGAUUUGGGAACCUUUGUAAAACCCUUUAUGUUCUUGGAUAAGGUACAAAGCUCAAUAAGGUGUGUGUUUACAGCAGAGGUUUUUGGUGGGGAAGAACGAAGAGCCAUCGGUCUGGUCGUGGUUAAUGAGGUAUCUUUCCAACAAUGCAACUUCCUCCAAAUUUUAAACCAGCACGGUUUUUCUGGUCUGAGCAGACCAGUCUGGGUUACCUUGUAACCCUGUACCUCCAAAAAGCACAGAGUGACUUAAACACAAGAAGGGACUGUAAAACUUGGAAAAAGGUCCCCCAUGAAUUUGUCAUGCCCCUCCUCCCAAACUCAAAUCUACCCCACUAUGUCACCAUUCUCAGAGAGUCGCCGUGACACACACACACACACACACACACACACACACAUUAAAACACUAAAUCUGGUACCUCAUGUUUCCACCCUAUUGCAAUUUCGGUUACACUCAGUAUAAAGACAUACUUAAAGGAGCACUCCAAAUACCUAAAGGACUUUAGCUUGUUGUAGCACUUUAUCUGUAAAGAGUUCAUCCUCUUUAAAAAUGUUGCAAAAACUGCAGUUUUCAACAUGAAUAGGUGCUUUUAUACAUUGACCCGUCCCCCAAGGCUGUCAAUCGGACAUCUGGUCCUGUUACUUCCUGUUUGUUCAGCUCAAUAGAGCUAAACUCAAGAGGCAGCAAUUGCUUAGGGCAACUGCCUUGCAAAGACUUUGCAUUGGGAAGUCUGUUAUUGGACAGCCACAGAUAGUCUGGGCUGGGGAAGAAGUGGAGGGCUUGCAAAGACGACAGACAAGAGAUCUUGCCUGAAGCCAAUAAAAAAAAGUGUAAUUAAAUGCAUGCCUGUUUUCCAUGAAGCUAUAUCUACUAAAUAGUGAUUUUAAAAAAAAAUAUUCCUUUACGGGAAAACUCCAGUGUUAUAAAUACAGAUCUGUAUUUAUAACAGAGUUCUCCUGGUUUCUUUUUGGUUGUUACGGAAUCUCUGGUGCUCCUGUCUGUGAAGACAAAACUUUACUUAAAUUAAUUAACUGAACAGGUAUUGAAUUAAUAUUUUGCAAUCCAGACUGGUGGCGCUGGGGAGGGUUAGUUCUAUUGUUUUGUUGAGCUCCCCUUUGGCUAGUGUAUGGGGAAAGGGCUGUUAUCACUAUUGCUGUAUCCUGUGGCUAGCAGGAGGGAAAACAGAGGAGACACUCUGGCUGAGUACCAAGCUCUGCUACAUUUAGUGGCAGGGGUCGGAAACCAUUUCCUCCUUCACAGGGUACGGAGGAAGCAGUGCCGAGAACCCGGCGGAUGGAGCACCACUACCAACAAAUUAAAAUGAGUAAGCUAAAGGAUGUCCUAGCAGCCCGAGGACAAGCAACCAGUAAGCACUAUCACAUGUAGCAAACAAUCAUAUUGGCACACAAUCGUAUUUAGUACUUUGACACACACAUACACACCCCAUAUAUACAUCUUACAAGUCACACUGUUACAAACAGGGCUGUCUUCAAUGCGGGGCAAAUGGGGCAGCUGCCUCGUGGGCCCCGCGAUUUGCACAGCCCCCAUGGAACAGGCUGUGCGGCUGCCCAGAGCCGCCCCGGCCCGCACACUAAGGAGGCCAACCGGGUGGCUCAUGCACUAGAGGCCACCCAUGUGUCAGCAGGGGCUCAGUCAGGCGCUGUGACGCUUAAACAGCCACCUGGGAGGAAGUGAGUGCCGUGCGUCACUUCCACCCACCGGAGAUAAGAGCCGCGCGGGAGGAGGGGAGUUCCAGAAGAUAACUCCCAACUGCCUCAUCCUGCCACUGGACCCCAGGGAAUCCACCCUCCAGAAAAAGGUAAGAACCUGGAGGGUGGCUAAAUGUAGCAUGUGUGUCAGUAUGUCUGUCUGUGUGUCAGUAUGCCUGUGUGUAUGUCAGUAUUAUUAUUAUUAUUAUUGCCAUUUAUAUAGCGCUAACAGAUUCCGUAGCACUUUACAAUAUUAUGAGAGGGGGACUUAACUAUAAAUAGGACAGUUACAAAUAAACUUACGGGAACAAUAGGUUGAAGUAUGUCUGUCAGUGUGUGUGUCAAUGUUAGUAUGCCUGUGUUUGUGUGUCAGUAUGUAUGUCUGUGUGUAUGUCAGUGUGUGUCAGUAUGUCUGUACUUCUGUCAGUGUAUGUGUCUGUGUUUCAGUAUUUCUGUUAGUUGUCGGAGUGUGUGUCAGUGUAUGUGUCUGUGUGUAUGUCAGUCUGUCAGUGUAUGUGUCUGUGUGUGUGAGUAUGUCUGUAUGUAUGUGUGUGUAAAUAUGUCUGUGAGUAUAUAUUUUUGUGUCAGUAUGUAUCUGUGAAUGUGUCAAUAUGUCUGUGUGUGUAUGUGUCAGUAUGUCUGUCAGUGUAUAUGGUUGUGUAAGUAUGUUUUGAAUCUCUCUACUUUAGUUCCUCCCCCCCCACCCCCCCCCCAGCACUGGGGUGAAAAGUGUGAUUAGGUGUAAUUAGGGGGGUGGGAAGGGCAGGGCCCAGGGGUCCCAAGAAAAUGCUUUGCCCAGGGUCCUGUUCAUAUUAUAGAUGGCCCUGGUCUCAACCAUACAUUUAAUAAGCCAAAACUCACCAAAUUAGACGUGUUUAAUUAGCUAGUAUCCAUGGACUCUCAGCCAUGCAUACAUAUCUAGCACUAUAAAUCUCUCUCAAUUUGCCGCUGUCUCUUAUAUCUGCAUCACGAGCUACACACACAUUCUCUGAAGUACAUUUUCCCUUUUUCUGUCAGCUGCUGGUUUCUGCGGUAUUUGAGUAGAAGGGCUCCUGUUGUUUGCAGCCUUGUUGGCUCUGGUCUCCUGGGCACUCAGAGGAGUUGUGCACAGUGAUGGACAGACUUUGUCCGUCUUCCUCGAGCAAGCUACAGGUUGACAGUCAGCGCUGCCUGGCAUCUGAUUCAACUGGGGGACACGUUAAAGAUGCCAUGAUGUAAAGUUGUUAAAGUAAACCUGUCAUGACAGGUGCAAUGCAUUGAAUACACCAUCUGUCACAGAGAUGCACAAUGUGUUCAGUGUAAAAUAUAUAGAUACAAUCUCACUUUACCUCCAUGUCCUCUAUGUUCGUGGGUGUUACUUUCCUGACAGUUACCUUUUAAAGAACUUAGUCUCACCCUUUAA
Non-coding RNA from Pelobates cultripes (western spadefoot toad), 4581 nucleotides. Lineage: Eukaryota; Metazoa; Chordata; Amphibia; Anura; Pelobatidae. The record is from the annotation of a GenBank genome assembly.